AUGACAUACUUCCAACUUUCAGGAACAGAUGCUAAGGACGAAAGAAGCCUUGUAAACCACAGUACCCACCGACUUCCCUCAGCUCUCAUGAUCCUAGAACCAUCAGCAAGUAGCACCGCGCCUGUUCAGAGACGCUGGGAAGCCAGGACUCGCUUGGAGCUACCUCGGGCAAUGCACAGCCACAAGUUCUACCAGCCGGAAUUCUUGGGGCAUCUGGGAAAUGAGUUAGCGUUGUUUAAAAUGAGAGAAAAUAUAAAGAAACACAAGAUAAGAUUUGCAUCUAAAAAGAUAAAUAACAUUGUGUGA
RNAcentral lists this long non-coding RNA (306 nucleotides) under Fukomys damarensis (Damara mole-rat). RNAcentral describes it as "lncRNA (ENSFDAG00000026893.1)". Lineage: Eukaryota; Metazoa; Chordata; Mammalia; Rodentia; Bathyergidae. The record is from RNAcentral.